This is a non-coding RNA of Struthio camelus australis, 2946 nucleotides long. NCBI's taxonomy places the organism in Eukaryota, Metazoa, Chordata, Aves, Struthioniformes, Struthionidae. The record is from RefSeq and is a predicted model, not a curated record.
GGCUCUUCCACGUGAGAAAAAACCCAAUUCCAGUCUCUGCAGGCAUCCCUGUCUCUGCAUUCCUGUAUUAGGACAGGAAGCGGCUUUCCCGAUGCUGGGGAGUCAGGACUGGAAGCCCCUCUGGAGGAUCUGAGCCACCUCACUCACAGGUUACUCAGGAAAGACAGGCGAAGGCAGGAGCGCUGCAAUAAUCAGGACCUGUAGACAACAGAAUUGAAGUAGCCUGAUACUAAGCCUUCAUGAAAGCAGUGUCAGGCAACGCUGAGGGCAGAACCUGGCCAAGCUCCUGCUGCUGCCCACCAGCAGGAAGGAUUCCUCUGUGGCUAGCGCAGCAAACCCACAGCACGCUCUGGGUCCUUUUGCGCCGCGGGUUCAUACCUCUGUGACCUGCAGGUGCUGGUUUUGCAUCCAUUCAGCAGCAAAUCUGAACCAUAUCUGCACAUCCAGGUGCUCCCCUGUUGCCAGACGAUCGCAGGUCCUCUUUGAACUGUUACCAACCCACACAACAUCAGAGCAACUUCACGGUAAAUAGCGCCGGGACCGAGGAGAAGCAAGAAAUCCAACCUCGCCUCACCAGGAUUCUUUUUUUGGCAUCCAACGAUCCCAUGUGCAAUCUGAACCUCUCCUCUGGGCUCCAGGCGUUUCCUGCAAUGGCCUUGCAGUUAGUUCUCAAAUAAUCUGCUUAAUGAAAUCAGAAAAGGGAGAAAAAAAUCUUUUAUUUUUCCUCUCUCUUGCCAUAAAAAGAAGAGAAAUUAAUGAUAGCGAUUCUAAAUACAGAGACCUAUUUUUGGUCUAUUUCAUGAAAGGAUUAUGUGGUGAUUAUGAUUAAGAAAAGUAAUUUUCUUCUGUACAGACUGUAAUGGAUAAUGCCCAAAACAGGCCUGUUUAGACGCCAUUUUUCACCUUUUUCAAACUCUAAGGAAAACACUCAACUCCUCAGGGUUCGCUGUUGGCAAAGGUCUGGCAUUGCAAACGCCCUUAGUAAAUCCAUGCGCCCAUGCUUUUUGUAAGUUGUUUUUCUCUAGUGUUGAGCUACAUACCCCAGAGGUCACUCGGCAUAUUUAAAACUCCUGGCCGUGGGUGAAAUCCAGCUGUGAAUGGUUUGUACCGGGCAUGAAUAGCCAAAUACUCUAUUUUUGAUGUUCCCAAUGGCAUGCGCAGAUUGCUGGGCAAGACUUUUCAUAAAUGCCAGAGUUAAGAGCACAAAUCCCUUGGACUUGCAUAUUUACUUUUUACGUGCUAAUCUGGGUUUGAAUUUGGCACGUGGUUUAGGACUGGGAUCCAGACCAGCCCGCUGAGCCAGGCAGCCAUGGCCACUGCUGGCAGAGGAAGGGCCGAGGGGCCCGAGCUGGAGUCGUUGCUGCUCGCAGGGUUCAGGUGACCCUGGUUCUGCCACGUAAGGCUCGGGGGAAAAAGCCCGUGUUUAGCCCUGUGCCUGAUGCAGGGGUUUCUGUCAUUUCUGCACCCCGUUAGCACAACUGCAGCAUUCACAGGAGAAAGUGAGGCAAAGAGAAUUGUUUUUUCCUUAUUCCUUGGAACACGCACGUUUGUACAAUACUCUCUGUCCAUUGUGCUGGGCUCGGGAAAAACAGUUUCAUUUCUUCACCGUUCAGAUGAUGUAUGAUGGCUGACACAUAAUUACUGAUACAGCCACAAAGUACGGCAGAUAGCAGCGGAUUUAUCAGGUGGAGAUAACCUGCUCAUGAACUUCUCUUUGAGACUACCAGCGUUGAAGGGAGGCGCCUGCUGCUAGAUGACACGUGCUUUGGCUUCCCUCAGGCAUUUCUGUAAACAUUAUGUUGCUAUUAAUUCAUCUUUUCUCACCAAAAAAGCUUGGAAUUAGGGAAAAAACCCUAAAAACCAGCCAAAAGCCCCCACAGAGAGAGCGUUGGUUCUAAAAAGGAGAUUGAAACCCCAGGAGGGCAAGCAGACAGAUCAGUUUGACCCCCUCUGAUGGCAGUGCGUUGUUGGCAGGUGGUGCAUGGCCGAGCAUGGCACGCUGCUGCAGGGCAACGCGCACAGGCAGCAGGGCUGGCAGGGGCACAAGCGCUGCUCCCCUGCCCUUCAUCUUACGUGUGCUCACCUCCCAAGGGGUCAAGAAGUACGCUCAUGGCUCCUGAGAAAGAGAAAGCAACAGCUUGCAAACCUGACAGUGGAAACCUCCAGUUUUUAACUUCAACACUCACAUGUCUGUAGUCCUAGGUUGCGUACUCAGGGUCUUGUACACGGACACUGCCAUAAUUGACUGUUUGCUCAGAACAGGCUCUAAUUCUCCAUGAAGUUACUUUCUCGAUAGCCAGCAAACAUGGUGCACCUGCACUGCAGCAGCCCUGGGACAGGAAGCAGGUGCCAUCGACCAGAGUAGGCAGAAGGACAGGGGUACCCAGCAGCAAGAGCAGCCACCUGUCAGGGCUCCUUUACAGAAAGGAAGAGCAGGGUGUCUCCUAUUUUUAUUUGUUUUGUGACUUGGUUCAUCAGCUGAUUCCUCCUCGGAACCUGCUGAGCACCUGGCCCUCGUUACCACCUGGCUCGGGAGGAUGGAGCAAGGUGGGGGGGGUGGAGGUGCCUGGGCCACGGCUGCUCAUGGGAAGCAGGGCAAAGGAUGCUGGGGCUGGCACUGCCCCACGCUUCUCCCCCUCGGCGGCAGCGGCACCGCCUAUGCCCGGGUGCAAAGCACGUGUUUGGACAGAGAUGUACACACACACACACAGAGCAUGAGGGACACAGUGAUAGAGGCACACAGAGGAGUGACACAGUGACGGGGCACACGCAUGCAAACACACAGACACAGAGCAACACGGGGAGAGACAAGCAGCACAGCUGUGGGAGAUGGGCGUGAGUGCACGCACACACUGACACAGCAGGACAGAGUGAUAGAUGGGGAGACAGGACAAACAUGAAGAGAGACAGACAUGGUGACAAAGGGACGGCCACACACACACACAC